AUUGAACGCUGGCGGCAGGCCUAACACAUGCAAGUCGAGCGGAUGAGUGGAGCUUGCUCCAUGAUUCAGCGGCGGACGGGUGAGUAAUGCCUAGGAAUCUGCCUGGUAGUGGGGGACAACGUUUCGAAAGGAACGCUAAUACCGCAUACGUCCUACGGGAGAAAGCAGGGGACCUUCGGGCCUUGCGCUAUCAGAUGAGCCUAGGUCGGAUUAGCUAGUAGGUGAGGUAAUGGCUCACCUAGGCGACGAUCCGUAACUGGGUCUGAGAGGAUGAUCAGUCACACUGGAACUGAGACACGGUCCAGACUCCUACGGGAGGCAGCAGUGGGGAAUAUUGGACAAUGGGCGAAAGCCUGAUCCAGCCAUGCCGCGUGUGUGAAGAAGGUCUUCGGAUUGUAAAGCACUUUAAGUUGGGAGGAAGGGCAGUAAGUUAAUACCUUGCUGUUUUGACGUUACCAACAGAAUAAGCACCGGCUAACUUCGUG
RNAcentral lists this ribosomal RNA (485 nucleotides) under uncultured bacterium. Its description in RNAcentral is "bacterial SSU rRNA". It matches the Rfam family "Bacterial small subunit ribosomal RNA", at positions 30 to 507 of the family's 1533-position model. The record is from RNAcentral.